AUGAGAGCCGUGACGCCGCCUUCAAGAAGGGAACGAGGUACGCCGCCGCCGGUCUGUUCGAAGAUAGAGCAGGUUUUCACUCCAACCACCAUUCACCACCGCCGAACGGCACACCCCGGUUACCAUGCCGCCCACACGGCCAUGGCAACCAGGCAACACCAAGCCACGGGCUCUGCCCAUGAGCACCGCGGACCCACCACUAGGGCCGCCCGCCCCGGCAUCCAAGACCUUGACACCAACUCACCCGAGAUCCGCCGCUAUCCCAACCAACAACACGAGCGGAAAGGACCCGUCUUUCGCAUCCCUGGGCUGCCCCCAGUGUCGAGACCCAAUAGAUCGACCAAGACUGGCCUUCAUCGCCCCGUCCAGCGACACCGGACGCGAGACGAGCUCAGUCCUGCUGCCGGGCGCGAGAUGAGCAUGGUCCUGCUGCCGGGUGCGAGACGAGCUCGGUCCUGCUGCCGGGUGCGAGACAAGGUCAGUCCUGCCGCCGGGCGCGAGACGAGCUCGGUCCUAUUACCGGGUGAGACGAGUGAUGGACCGCAGCUGGGGGAGGGCCAACCAUCGACGAAGAUAGUGGACGAACGCCCGAGGAGAAGGAUCGAAGGUCGACACAAGCCGCACACCGACGGGCCGACGCUGAAGAAGUCCAGUCGCCGUCGUGAACGACUCAGACCACUGCCAGGAGCCACCACCUCGAGCGAAGGAGGAGAAGAUCAUGGCAGUCCACCAUCGCACCGCCACCACCACCUACCACUGCAGGGCGGCCGCCCGCGGCCCAAGCCGCCCACGGCUCGCGCCGUCACAGGGCCGAGCAAGCAAGCCCGCGGUCACCCGCCCGCCUGGACGCACACCAACCACCGCCGCCGCCACGCCUCCAGCUCUGCCAGACGCCGGCCAUGGCGGAGCCAAACGUCCAUGACCCAAGCAGCAUGCUGCCCCCGCCACGCGUCGGGCCACCAGAGCCAAAUUCGCCGGAUCUGGACAGGACCGUCACGCGCGUUACCGCCAGAGAAGCCACGCCGCAGCCGCCGUGCGUCGUAG
Molecule: ribosomal RNA, 1044 nt
Filed under: Triticum aestivum (bread wheat)
Lineage: Eukaryota; Viridiplantae; Streptophyta; Magnoliopsida; Poales; Poaceae
Description: partial small subunit ribosomal RNA
Source: RNAcentral